GAUGAACGCUAGCGGGAGGCCUAACACAUGCAAGUCGAACGGGAAGGGUAGCAAUACCCCGAGAGUGGCGCACGGGUGAGUAACGCGUAUGCAACCUGCCUUUAACAGAGGGAUAGCCCAUAGAAAUGUGGAUUAAUACCUCAUAGUUCCCGGAUGCCGCAUGGCAACCGGGAUAAAGCUCCGGCGGUUAAAGAUGGGCAUGCGUGACAUUAGCUAGUUGGUAAGGUAACGGCUUACCAAGGCAACGAUGUCUAGGGGUUCUGAGAGGAUGAUCCCCCACACUGGUACUGAGACACGGACCAGACUCCUACGGGAGGCAGCAGUGAGGAAGAUUGGUCAAGGGGCGCAAGCCUGAAGCAGCCAUCCCGCGUGCAGGAUGAAGGCACUACGGGUUGUAAACUGCUUUUGUACACCAAGAAAAAACCCCACGUGUGGGGAUCUGACGGUAGUGUAUGAAUAAGCAUCGGCUAACUCCGUGCCAGCAGCCGCCGUAA
This 494-nucleotide ribosomal RNA is filed under the name uncultured bacterium. RNAcentral describes it as "partial 16S ribosomal RNA". It matches the Rfam family "Bacterial small subunit ribosomal RNA", at positions 28 to 523 of the family's 1533-position model. The record is from RNAcentral.